This is a long non-coding RNA of Oncorhynchus gorbuscha (pink salmon), 149 nucleotides long. RefSeq lists it as uncharacterized. The transcript has 2 exons. The record is from RefSeq and is a predicted model, not a curated record. NCBI's taxonomy places the organism in Eukaryota, Metazoa, Chordata, Actinopteri, Salmoniformes, Salmonidae.
AGGAGGUGGAGUUAAUCAGGAGCAUCCAGGCUCUGUUGAAGAGAACGCUGAGUCAGGCUGUCAAUCAAAUCAAGAACAGAACGUACAUAAACCAAAAAUCAACUCGCUGAUGGGACGUUCCAUUAUAAGGAGAGUGGCCAGCUCCAAGG